RNAcentral lists this long non-coding RNA (320 nucleotides) under Nicotiana benthamiana. Its description in RNAcentral is "long non-coding RNA (NBEN_LNC021619)". The record is from RNAcentral. Lineage: Eukaryota; Viridiplantae; Streptophyta; Magnoliopsida; Solanales; Solanaceae.
UUGAACAUAAUAGACACCAGAGUGUAAGCUUAGCUUUAUUGGUUGAAUCCUGUUAAAGUGCCUUAAAAUUAUAUGUUUGCAUCUAACUUGAACACUCAAAAUAGAAUGUCUUGAUAAACAAAUUCAGAGUGAGUCAUGUGUCAUGUGUGUGAGUUUUUACUAUAUUCCAUGAUUUACAUUUGAUGCCUAGAACUUGCCCUGUGUAUUUGCAAAGCAAAAUUGUAGUUUUCUUCAGUUUUAGAAGUGAUAUGGAUAUUUCUUUAUUUAGACAGACAUAUAACGUAAACCCACCUGAAUGCAAUACAUCUUAGUUAACCUCG